UGAGCAUGCCUGUCGGGAC
This 19-nucleotide small nuclear RNA is filed under the name Arabidopsis thaliana (thale cress). RNAcentral's name for it is "snRNA_16591". The record is from RNAcentral. Lineage: Eukaryota; Viridiplantae; Streptophyta; Magnoliopsida; Brassicales; Brassicaceae.